GUCUUGCUCUGUCACCUAGGCUGGAGUGCAGUGGUGCAAUCAUAACUCACUGCAGCUUCGACCUCCUGGCCUCAAGUGAUCCUCUCACCUCAGCCUCCCAAGUAGCUGAGACCACAGGUGCCAUUCUCUCUCUCUCUCUCUCUCUCUCUCUCUGUUUCUCUCUUUCUCUCUCCCUCUCUCCCUCUUUCUCUCUCAGAAACGGGGUCUCACUAUGUUGCCCAGGCUCAUCUUGAAAUCCUGGCCUCAAGUGAUCCUCCCACCUUGGCCUCCCAAAGUGCUCAGAUUACAAGCAUGAGCCAUUGCACCUGGCCUGAAAUAUUAUUUACCUUGAUUAUUGAGUUUUUUGGUGCCCCUUUAAGUUUUGCACCUGAGGCUGGUGCCUCACCCAACUCACAUUAGCCCCUGCCCUGAUUAUUUCUAACAUGCAAUCCACACCAUAUCAUUAGUUCCUCAGCAAAUACUCUACUAUUAUCACUACUUCACAGUUGCAAAAACUGAGGCACAACUGUGCCCAAUGUCCCAAAGGAAGGAGAAGAAAAAUCUGAACUUGAACCCCAGUUUCUUCGUUUUUUGGUUCAGAGCCUGCCCAGUAUAGCACUACAAUAAGCUGAAUUUUAUAAAUUGGGUUUUGAGUUAAGGAAUCAAAAGCUUCAGGCUUAAGUCCCACCUCUGCCCCAGAGUCUUCUGAGCCCUCCAUUUUCACAGACGUCAGUUGCCCUAGGUGGAACUGGACUUUAAUAUUCUCCACAUCCCUUAUUUUUUCCCAAAACAGUUUACCAGCUUUUUCUUUCCUGAACCAGGAGCAAUAGCAAAAAUUGGGAAUGGGAAGAAACAGGUACCAGCCAGGACACCUGAACGAACUUGGAGCUCAGGAACCCAGGAGGGGAUUGGAGAGAGUGGGGAGACUCCAUGGUCCACAAUGAAUGCUCCUUCCCCAUCCGAAAAAAUCCCCUAGCCCAGUUUUUGGGCAGAUGCCAGACUUUUAUUCUGAAGCGUGGGCCACAACCUAUGAGGUAAUCUUUGGAGCUUCAUUCUGAGGCGGAAUCCCAUUGGCCAGUUGGGGAAGCCCCUCCCAGGAUUCCUGGCGCUCCGCCUUCCCUGAAGCCUAUAAAAGCGCAGGUCCCCGCCUCGGCAGCCACGGGACACCUGCAUCUGCCAACAAGACUGGAAGCAGAAAGGGACAGAGACGGCGAAGUUUGACGGUCUGGAAAGCAGAGACCAGCAGGGCUGACUGCUUGGGAGCGCCUCUCGGGAGGUCCGAGAAGAGAACCGCGAUCUGUUUCAGCACCGGGGCUCAGGACAGUUCCCAGCGGGCUCCGUUUCGUCUCCAGAACCCUGGACAGCUCCUCCAGUAGAGACGGGGUUUCACCAUGUUGGCCAGGCUGGUCUCAAACUCUUGACCUCUUCAUCCGUCCACCUCAGCCUCCCAAAGUGCUAGGAUUACAGGCGUGAGUCACUGCGCCUGGCCCAAGUCCGGAAUUUUCAACAGGACAUGGGUGUUACUGUGCCCAUGUGACAUUUGGGGAACCCAAGGCCCUGAGAAAGGCAGAAAAAUAACCCACGCAGGGACUCUCAGCCCACAAGUGAAGCUCUUGGAAUGCACUCCCUCCACCUCCAACCAGAGCUCCCCACAACUGACCCUGCCUUCUUCUGCAAGCUCCAUUUCAUCAAGGGAAACGAUCCUUAUUGCCUCACCAUUUCCCACGUGAAGUCUGUAUUGACAUUCUCAUAGACCUGGGAUAUUGUGUCUGCAGCACAUAGUCCAAUUAUUUUCAUGUUAUCUACUGACAGGUCUAUUUGUCUCCCUGUUACACUGUGAGCUCCGUGAGGGCAGAAACAAUGUUAGUAUUUUCACUGCUGUGUCCCCAGCGCCUGGUCCGGGGCCCGGCACACAGCAGGCAUAUAAUAAGCAUGUGUUGAAUCAAUAAAGGCAUCAAAGAAUAAACCAAUACAUCAAUCAAUAAAUGAAUGAAUGGCCUCAGCACACACAGGAAGAUCCUUCUUCUAGGUCUCCCCCAGAGAGAUACUGGAGGGCAAUGGUUGCUGGAGGUGUUUAUUGGGGAAGCAUAAUUGAAUUUGUGGACACUUAAGGGCCGGCCAGCCAACUCACAGCCCCAAGAGAGAGAGCCAGGCUCAUUUAAUUAGCAAUUACAAGGCACUGAUUCCUCAUUAGCUCUGGCAACCCUCGUCUCCCUCCUCAGCCCCAGACAAAUGAAAUCUUUCUCUCUCUCCCAGGAGUACUGCCUCAGUGGGUCCAUUAACAAGCAGAGAAAAUGAGAUUAGAAGACACCUAAAUGCCAGAGGCACUUUAUGAAUGGGCUGAGCAGAGGGAGGUUCAAUGUCUGGGUUAGGUCUAAUUGUGGGAGGUUUCCUGGUCUAUUUAGAAUUGCCCCCUGGGAAUGCAAGGUCUUUCAGAAAGGAAAAGGCACACAGAUAUUGCCUUCUGGGGUCCUCAAUGGAGGAGGACAUUCUGCUAUGGGUGUCUCCCAGUCACCCCAAAUUAAUCAUUUCAAAGUGAACACUCAAUCUGCCCAGCCCCUAGCUUCCUCCCCUGACAUGCCCAUGAAUAUGACAGUCCCUCUACAUGCCCAAGAUCCUCCCCUCCUCAUCCACUCCCCAUGAUCCCCAAGAUGAGUCACUGUGCUCAAAUCCAUCCUCUCUCCUCCAGCCCUCUGCCUCCAUGACCUCCCUCCAGCCCUCUGCCUCCAUGACCUCCGCCUCCCUGCAUGUCCGGAUCUCCUCACUGUCUCCCCUCUGAGCAUACACACACAUACAGCCUGUUCAUUCUCUACAUGCAGCGAGGGGACUUUCCAGAACACACAUCUGACCAAGUUCCACUCCUGCCUGUCACCCUUCCAAGAGCCCCACUGACUGCAGAAUAACGUUCAAAUAUCCGGUUGGGCGUGGUGGCUCAUGCCUGCAGUCCCAGCACUUUGGGAGGCCAAGGUGGGUGGAUCACUUGCACAGGACCACAGGCGUGUGCCACCACACCCAGCUAAUUUUUAUAUUUUUGGUAGAGACGGAGUUUCACCAUGUUGGCCAGGCUGACCUCAAGUGAUCCACCCGCCUCAACCUCCCAAAGUGCUGGGAUUACAGGCAUGAGUCACUGCACCGGUCUAAUUUUUUCAGAGUCUCACUCUUGCCCAGGCUGGAGUGCAGUAGCAUGAUCUCGGUUCACUGCAACCUCUGCCUCCUGGUUUCAAGCGAUUCUCUUGGCUCAGCCUCCUGAGCAGCUGGGAUUACAGGCACGUGCCACCACACUUAGCUAAUUUUUGUAUUUUUAGUAGAGAUGGGGGUCUCACCAUGCUGGCACAGUUGGUCUUGAACUCCUGACCUCAAGUGAUCCACCCACCUCGGCUUCCCAAAGUGCUGGGAUUACAGACGUGAGCCACCGCGCCCGGCCAGCCUUUAUUGAUUCUUUUUAAAGCCACACUAACCUUUUAUUUUCCCCCAAAGACCCCUGGGAGCCCUCAGUUUUUCCUGGCAGUUUCAUCUUUGUACCCCUGACCUCCCCACACACACGCCUAGCUCAGUGCUGGCAUCCAAUAUUCACUUUGGGUAUAAAUGCUUGUGCCUGAGCCUAUCACCUUCAUCACACAGAAAAUCCUGGAGGCCACACACCCCUGUAAAGACGAGCCAUUACCCACAGAGGUCCAACCAACUUACCACCCUCUCCCAGCCACCCCCAAGGACCCAGCUUGCAGCUGCCUGCUCAAUGGCUUUAGAAACUAAAAAAGGUGAAUGAGUUUCCAUCACUGCCCUCCUGGGCUUUGCCGUUAUGGCUGGUUAACUUGACAGAAGAACACAUUAUACUUCAUUUUUUGCUGUUGUCUUGUUGGAAAAAAAAGUGACAGCUGGGUGCAGUGGUGCACACUGUAGUCACAGCUACUCAGGAGAAUUGCUUGAGCACAGGAAUUGGAGGCUACACUGAGCAAUGAUCGCCUCACUGCACUCCAGCCUGAACGACAGAGCAAGACCCUCUUAAAAAAUACGUGAGAGAGGGUGCGUAUGAUGGCUCAUGCCUGUAAUCCCAGCAGUUUG
This 4041-nucleotide long non-coding RNA is filed under the name Homo sapiens (human). RNAcentral describes it as "HSALNT0254845". The record is from RNAcentral. Lineage: Eukaryota; Metazoa; Chordata; Mammalia; Primates; Hominidae.